RNAcentral lists this ribosomal RNA (406 nucleotides) under uncultured bacterium. Its description in RNAcentral is "partial 16S ribosomal RNA". It matches the Rfam family "Bacterial small subunit ribosomal RNA", at positions 29 to 526 of the family's 1533-position model. The record is from RNAcentral.
AUUGAACGCUGGCGGCAGGCCUAACACAUGCAAGUCGAACGAGUGGCGGACGGGUGAGUAAUGUCUGGGAAACUGCCUGAUGGAGGGGGAUAAAUACUGGAAACGGUAGAUAAUAACGCAUCCCAUCGGAAGGGCCCAGAUGGGAUUAGCUAGUAGGUGGGGUAAAGGCUCACCUAGGCGCCGAGCCCUAGCCGGCCUGAGAGGAUGACCAGCCACCCGGGAACGGGGACACGGUCCAGACUCCUACGGGAGGCAGCAGUGGGGACUAUUGCACAAGGGGCGCAAUCCUGAUGCAGCCAUGCCGCUUGUAUGAAGAAGGCCUUCGGUUUGUAAAGUACUUUCAGCGGGGAGGCGUUACCCGCAGAAAAAGCACCGGCUAACUCCGUGCCAGCCGCCGCGGUAAUAC